GGAGUUAUUUAAAUAGAACCCUUCGGAGUGACGUUUAUAUAACUUAAUGGCGGACGGGUGAAUAACGCGUGAGUAACCUGCCUUUCUAAGGGGGAUAACGUCCUGAAAAGGACGCUAAUACCGCAUGAUAUAUUUGUGCCGCAUGGUUUGGAUAUCAAAGGAUCAAUCGGCUGGAAAAUGGACUCGCGUCCAAUUACCUAGUUGGAGGGGUAACGGCCCGCCAAGGCGUCGAUCGGUAGCCGGACUGAGAGGUUGAACGGCCACAUUGGGACUGAGACGCGGCCCAGACUCGUGCGGGAGGCAGCAGUGGGGGAUAUUGUGCAAUGGGGGACAACCCAGACGCAGCAACGCCGCGUGAAGGAAGAAGGUUUUCGGAUUGUAAACUUCUUUUCUAAGGGACGAAGAAGUGACGGUACCUUAGGAAUAAGCUCCGGCUAACUACGUGCCAGCAGCCGCGGUAAUACGUAGGGAGCAAGCGUUGUCCGGAUUUACUGGGUGUAAAGGGUGCGUAGGCGGCAAUGCAAGUCAGAUGUGAAAUGCACGGGCUCAACCCGUGAGCUGCAUUUGAAACUGUGUUGCUUGAGUGAGGUAGAGGCAGGCGGAAUUCCCGGUGUAGCGGUGAAAUGCGUAGAGAUCGGGAGGAACACCAGUGGCGAAGGCGGCCUGCUGGGCCUUAACUGACGCUGAUGCACGAAAGCGUGGGUAGCAAACAGGAUUAGAUACCCUGGUAGUCCACGCUGUAAACGAUGAUUACUAGGUGUGGGGGGUCUGACCCCUUCCGUGCCGCAGUUAACACAAUAAGUAAUCCACCUGGGGAGUA
RNAcentral lists this ribosomal RNA (820 nucleotides) under uncultured human fecal virus. RNAcentral's name for it is "bacterial SSU rRNA". It matches the Rfam family "Bacterial small subunit ribosomal RNA", at positions 49 to 882 of the family's 1533-position model. The record is from RNAcentral.